This 377-nucleotide ribosomal RNA is filed under the name uncultured eukaryote. RNAcentral's name for it is "partial 18S ribosomal RNA". It matches the Rfam family "Eukaryotic small subunit ribosomal RNA", at positions 592 to 975 of the family's 1831-position model. The record is from RNAcentral.
CAAUAGCGUAUAUUUAAGUUGUUGCAGUUAAAAAGCUCGUAGUUGGAUUUCGGGUGGGACGCAGCGGUCUCGCAUUUCGUUUGUACUGCUGCAGCCCUCCUUCUUGCCGGGGGCGGCCUCUCGGACUUCACUGUCUGGGGGUCAGAAUCGGCGAUGUUACUUUGAGUAAAUUAGAGUGUUCAAAGCAAGCUUACGCUCUGAAUAUAAUAGCAUGGGAUAACACGACAGGACUCUGGCCUAUCGUGUUGGUCUAUAGGACCAGAGUAAUGAUUAAGAGGGACAGUCGGGGGCAUUCGUAUUCCGUUGUCAGAGGUGAAAUUCUUGGAUUUACGGAAGACGAACAUCUGCGAAAGCAUUUGCCAAGGAUGUUUUCAUUG